AACGAACGCUGGCGGCAUGCCUAACACAUGCAAGUCGAACGAAGGCUUCGGCCUUAGUGGCGCACGGGUGCGUAACGCGUGGGAAUCUGCCCUUUGGUUCGGAAUAACAGCUGGAAACGGCUGCUAAUACCGGAUGAUGACGAAAGUCCAAAGAUUUAUCGCCAGAGGAUGAGCCCGCGUUGGAUUAGGUAGUUGGUGGGGUAAAGGCCUACCAAGCCGACGAUCCAUAGCUGGUCUGAGAGGAUGAUCAGCCACACUGGGACUGAGACGCGGCCCAGACUCCUACGAAAGGCAGCAGGGGGGAAUAUUGCACAAUCGGCGAAAGCCUGAGCCAGCAAUGCCGCGUGAGUGAUGAAGGAACUAGGGUUGUAAAGCUCUUUUGCCCGGGAAGAUAAUGGCUGAACCGGGAGAAUAAGCCCCGGCUAACUCCGUG
RNAcentral lists this ribosomal RNA (433 nucleotides) under uncultured bacterium. Its description in RNAcentral is "partial 16S ribosomal RNA". It matches the Rfam family "Bacterial small subunit ribosomal RNA", at positions 29 to 507 of the family's 1533-position model. The record is from RNAcentral.